AAAGGAGUAGCAUUGCUCCCGUACUAAUUUCUAAGACCUCAACACUGUGGCUACCAUGGAGGAUGGUCGCGGCGCUAGUUGGAAGUCCGAAGAAAAAAAAUAGGAGAAGUGUAGAGUGUACCGGUGCUCAAGGAGGAAGGUCGUGACGCUCUGACGUGUUUCACUAGAACACAGCUAUUCGAGAUUUUAUUUUUUAGGGCUUUUUAGUGGCUAUAAAUAGGUAUUUUUAGCAGCUAAAAAGAGAGGUUUGAGAGAGGAAAAA
RNAcentral lists this long non-coding RNA (262 nucleotides) under Theobroma cacao (cacao). Its description in RNAcentral is "long non-coding RNA (TCAC_LNC002913)". Lineage: Eukaryota; Viridiplantae; Streptophyta; Magnoliopsida; Malvales; Malvaceae. The record is from RNAcentral.